Non-coding RNA from Roseburia intestinalis XB6B4, 113 nucleotides. NCBI's taxonomy places the organism in Bacteria, Bacillati, Bacillota, Clostridia, Lachnospirales, Lachnospiraceae. The record is from Rfam.
UGGAUGAUAUUCCGUAUACAGGAAAUCAUACCAGAACAUAUUUUUUAUCAGAAAAAGAGAAUAAAACCAGGAAAACCGCUUGUAUCCGUCAGUCGACGGAAUGAGACAGUCGC